Molecule: long non-coding RNA, 844 nt
Filed under: Marmota monax (woodchuck)
Lineage: Eukaryota; Metazoa; Chordata; Mammalia; Rodentia; Sciuridae
Source: RNAcentral
GUUAGGCAUUUAGCCAAUAAUCACACAAGUGAAUAAAUAACUACACAUUGUGAUAGCCAUUGUGAAUGAAACUAAAGUGCUGGUGAAUGAAUGUAAUAGAGGGCCCUACAGGAACCAGAUUUUACUAGAAGGUUAAGGGGUAUUUUCCUAAGGAAGUAAUAGUAGGCAAUGGCCAGAUGAAGGGUGGUAGCAAAGGUAGUAUUCCUGAAAGAAACAUCCAUUCAAAAAGCCAUGACACAGGAAAGGGCUUGGCAAGUUAAAGGAAGACAAAGGUGGCUGUCUUGGAUGGAGCUUAGUGAGAAGGGGACAGGAGAGACAGUCAGGAGCCAGGGCAGACAGGGACUGGACUCCCAAAGAGCCUUGUCUUGUUUGAAUUUCCAGUUCUAUUUUAUGGCAGCAGCAAUCACUGAAAGCUUUUCCAGAUUACCUUGACUCUAAGAUUUAGCUUCACUCUGAUGUCCUCUCUUUAAGGUCUGCAAAGCAAAGCAAAAGAAGUUGUCUGAGGAAAUUUAAUUGCAGUGACUAAUGUAAAAAUAGAUCAACAGGAAAACAAUUUUCUUUGGGAUGGGGAUGAAAGUAAUGGUUCUUGAUGUUGGCUGCAGAGUAGAAUCAUUAGGAGAGUUGUGAAAACUCCUAUUAUCUUGGUUCCUCCUUUUUGAGUAGUCAUCUAACUGGUCUAAAGUGAUUCAGAUGUGAAACCAAGGUUGAAAUCAUUAGAAAGAACAGCUAAAAAACUUGAAGUUUUAAUAGUUUUUAUUCUACCACAGUUGCAUUCAUUUUUAGAAGGAGUUUUUAAAAACAGCCAAUAUGCUUUCCAGGAACUGCUGUUCAUGCUUCACAAAAG